This 463-nucleotide unclassified non-coding RNA is filed under the name Hevea brasiliensis (rubber tree). Lineage: Eukaryota; Viridiplantae; Streptophyta; Magnoliopsida; Malpighiales; Euphorbiaceae. The record is from RNAcentral.
CCCUUUCUUCUGCGACAACCCACCUGCCUUUUUCUUGCCUGUGGGAUCAUUUCCUUCAGAUCCAGCUUCAUCACCAAUGUAGAAGACUGCCAUGAUAAGAAGCCUAACCAUACUAUCAGUCCAUUCUUUGCCAUGGAGAUACCUUUUUUUUUCCAUCAGCGGUGCUGUCAUCUCCAGUGAAACCAGGCUCAUCUUCGUCACUAGCUGUUGAUUGUGGCUUUUGUCUUGUAGUUGAGGAUGCAUAUGGGUAGGCAUGUUUCAUAGUUUGUUGUGGGUGAUGAUCAGACUCACGGUGAGCAUAAGCUACCAUUUGUGGGUGAUGCAAGUUGGGUGAAUUUUGUGGGUUUUGAGUGUUCUGUUGUUGUAGUGACAUUUCUAGUCCUAACAUUCCUGAUCCCAUGUCUGAAAAUAUCCCACCAGGCAAACCAUUGGGUUCCAUCAACCCAAAAGCCUUUUUAUUCAC